GACGUAGGGCGCGAGCGUUGUCCGGAUUUAUUGGGCGUAAAGAGCUCGUAGGCGGUCUGUUGCGUCGGUUGUGAAAACCUGGGGCUCAACUCCAGGCCUGCAAUCGAUACGGGCAGACUAGAGUUCGGUAGGGGAGACUGGAAUUCCUGGUGUAGCGGUGAAAUGCGCAGAUAUCAGGAGGAACACCGGUGGCGAAGGCGGGUCUCUGGGCCGAAACUGACGCUGAGGAGCGAAAGCGUGGGGAGCGAACAGG
This 253-nucleotide ribosomal RNA is filed under the name uncultured bacterium. RNAcentral describes it as "partial 16S ribosomal RNA". It matches the Rfam family "Bacterial small subunit ribosomal RNA", at positions 524 to 776 of the family's 1533-position model. The record is from RNAcentral.